RNAcentral lists this ribosomal RNA (833 nucleotides) under Patescibacteria group bacterium. RNAcentral describes it as "partial 23S ribosomal RNA". It matches the Rfam family "Bacterial large subunit ribosomal RNA", at positions 2477 to 2925 of the family's 2925-position model. The record is from RNAcentral.
ACAGGCUAGUUCCGCCUAAGAGUUCAUAUCGACGGCGGAGUUCGGCACCUCGAUGUCGGCUCACCACAUCCUGGGGGUGGAGAAGCUCCCAAAGGUUUGGCUGUUCGCCAAUUAAAGUGGUACGCGAGCUGGGUUCAGACCGUAAGUUAGUUGAAAGUCCAUAAAGCCAUAAAGUCCAUAAAGUCAGAGCGAUUUGCCAUGACUUUACAAGACUUUAUAGACUUUCGACUUUGGACUGAUUUACCGUCUGAAUCCCGAGGUUGGAUGAAUGGAUCCCACCAUUCAAUGUAUAAGACUUGUCCACGGCGGUCUCGAAAAGCGAUUUUCGAUGACACAGUUGACUGAUAUCGGUGAAGCCCGUAUCUCCGGGAGGGGAGCGAGGUAACACCUAGGGAAGACAGAGUCAUAAAGUUGAAAGACUUUACGGACUUGUGUCGCCCGUAGAGACUACACGUCAACCAUCUUCCUCUUUGCGUGAAGCCACGCGACGAUAAAAGAUGAUCAUAUAGUCCAUUCCGCACUGCAAGGUGCGAAAAGAAGCGUGAGACAGGUUGGUCUCCUAUCUGCUGCAGGCGUUGAUACUUGAGGGGAAUUGACUCUAGUACGAGAGGACCGAGUUGAACGAACCUCUGGUCUACCGGCUGUCGUGCCAACGGCACCGCCGGGCAGCUAUGUUCGGAUCGGAUAAGCGCUGAAAGCAUAUAAGCGCGAAGCCGGCCCCAAGAUCAGGUAUCGGUGAGGCCCGUGAGAGAUGAUCACGUUGAUAGGCUUUAGGUGUACGCGCCGCAAGGCGUUGAGCCGUGAAGUACUAAUCCGCCGAUCCUAUUAGGAAC